UCCUACGGGGCGCAGCAGUGAGGAAUAUUGGUCAAUGGGCGGGAGCCUGAACCAGCCAAGCCGCGUGAGGGAAGAAGGUACAGCGUAUCGUAAACCUCUUUUGUCAGGGAACAAAGGCGGGGACUAGUCCCCGGAUGAGGGUACCUGAAGAAAAAGCAUCGGCUAACUCCGUGCCAGCAGCCGCGGUAAUACGGAGGAUGCGAGCGUUAUCCGGAUUUAUUGGGUUUAAAGGGUGCGCAGGCGGCCUGUUAAGUCAGCGGUAAAAGACCGGGGCUCAACCCCGACGAGCCGUUGAGAAUGGCGGG
Molecule: ribosomal RNA, 305 nt
Filed under: uncultured bacterium
Lineage: Bacteria
Description: bacterial SSU rRNA
Rfam family: Bacterial small subunit ribosomal RNA
Source: RNAcentral